GCCACUGGAAGCAGUUCUCUCCGGCCAGAUCGUGGACUCAGACACGGUCCACCAAAGCAAUGCUCCCCUUCAGCUGCGGAAGGAGAACCGAGGACGGGAGUGCGGCUGCCGUGAGGGAGCUGACAAAAGUUGCUGGCAUUCACCGGGUUAAAAGCUGUAGCGGCACGGGAGUACAACUUCCUGAAAUUCCUGGCUGUGUCAAGUGUGACACUUCAGAUUUUUUUAGCAGCUUCAUCAUGUCACAAGAGCGAUCUGCUCUGUGUUGAAGAUCAUGUUUGAGAUUGAGGCUUCAGAUGAGUAAAGUUGAGGAUUGUGACCAGGAGAGGGAGGGUAAGUAGGUGUCUGGUUAAGAAUUAUUGGGGGGGGGGGUUUGAAGGCAUCAGAGUGAGAAAUGGUUUCUAUUUGAGGGCCCCCCAAGGUUUUUCACAAGCAUUGCAGAGGCAUUUAUGUGUUUUGUACCACCCCAGCUCAUCUACUGCACUCAUAGAAAUGCUGUGUAACUUUGGCUCUCUCUAACCCAGGUACUAGUCAUAAGAGCUAUAGCCUCAGACUCGAGAUGAAGCUGGAGCCUUGAGGACCUAGGCAUACUUAGGAGAGGUCAAGUAGCUGACUCGCUGGGAUUUGGCCCACAUAACACUACAGUCAUGCAUUGAUUUCGGUGUUCUUUAUUGUUCACUAAGAGGAUAACCGGCAAUCAUGAGGCCUUCUGAGGCUGACUCACUUCAGGUCCAACGUGGAUUCAUGUCGCCAGUCAUCCAAAAGAUAAGUCGGGGGCCACGGCCUGAAGAUGGGAUGAUCAUUUAGUAGAGGACUGGAAAUUCCUGGGACAGAUUUAAAAAUUAGCAGAGGGGAAAGGGAUAUCCUCUAAGGGGCUUUUAGGACAGCUAAAGGAGGAGGCCAUACUUUUGAUUGCAGCUGUAGGGUGUGCAGUGCAGAACAGUUCCAGUCUGUGUUGUGUUGUCCGGUGUACUGUGUUUCCUAGCGUGUCGUGGAGGUGCCUCGGAUCAGGUACCUCUGCCUUUUCUCCCACGAUCUCUAGGUUCUCGAACGCUCGCGCUUCUCGGCACGACGCCGAUACGGUUCGUUCUUUUCCCAGCGGGCUCGGCCAUGUCUCCGGGUCGCAAUUCAGAAGCAUCGAGUCAGAUGACUUUUGAGGCCUUGCUUCCAGCAGUAUCACCAUCCAGCCUUUCCAGCCAUGAGUUGUAAUAUCCUGGCACUUACAAGUUUGCAGGGAUACGGAGAGCAUUCCAAAUGUAGCAUUGUCUC
Molecule: long non-coding RNA, 1266 nt
Filed under: Chloebia gouldiae (Gouldian finch)
Lineage: Eukaryota; Metazoa; Chordata; Aves; Passeriformes; Passeridae
Description: Erythrura gouldiae (Gouldian finch) lncRNA (ENSEGOG00005017685.1)
Source: RNAcentral